Molecule: ribosomal RNA, 584 nt
Filed under: Tomoplagia argentiniensis
Lineage: Eukaryota; Metazoa; Arthropoda; Insecta; Diptera; Tephritidae
Description: partial 16S ribosomal RNA
Rfam family: Bacterial large subunit ribosomal RNA (bases 333-492)
Source: RNAcentral
GUAGUAAUUUGACUGUGCAAAGGUAGCAUAAUCAUUAGUCUUUUAAUUGAAGGCUUGUAUGAAUGGUUGGACGAAGUAUAAACUGUUUCAUGUAAAUUUAUUAUAAAAUUUUAUUUUUUAGUAAAAAAGCUAAAAUUAUAUUAAAAGACGAGAAGACCCUAUAAAUCUUUAUAAUUAAAAUUUAAUUUAAUUUUUUAAUUUUGUUUAAUUAAUUUUUAUUUAAUUAUUUUAUUGGGGUGAUAUUAAAAUUUAUAAAACUUUUAAUUUAAUUUUACAUUAAUUUAUGAUUAAUUGAUCCAUUAUUAAUGAUUAUAAGAAUAAGUUACUUUAGGGAUAACAGCGUAAUUUUUUUGGAAAGUUCUUAUUAAUAAAAAAGUUUGCGACCUCGAUGUUGGAUUAAGAAAUAAAUUUAGGUGUAGAAGCUUAAAUAUUAAGUCUGUUCGACUUUUAAAUUCUUACAUGAUCUGAGUUCAAACCGGCGUAAGCCAGGUUGGUUUCUAUCUUUAAUUAUUUAUAAUAUUUUAGUACGAAAGGACCAAAUAUUAAAUUUAUUUAAAUUUUAAUUUAUAUGAAAAUAAAUAAUU